Molecule: long non-coding RNA, 127 nt
Organism: Athene cunicularia (burrowing owl)
Lineage: Eukaryota; Metazoa; Chordata; Aves; Strigiformes; Strigidae
Exons: 4
Source: RefSeq, a predicted model, not a curated record
AGUACAAUACCUACUAGCACAAUGGUUUUCAAUUAUAAAAUAUACAGGAUUCAUCUAUAGGUCAACUCUGGUUUGGGUCAGUUGUCCAAGCCUUCGCACUUAACACAGUAAUUGGGAACAACUUGCA